AUACGAAAGGUGCAAGCGUUGUCCGGAUUUACUGGGCGUAAAGAGAGUGUAGGUUGUUUAUUAAGUCGGAUGUGAAAUCCCGGGGCUCAACCUCGGAACUGCAUUCGAUACUGAUAGGCUAGAGUUUGGGAGGGGUAAGCGGAAUUCCGUGUGUAGCAGUGAAAUGCGUAGAUAUACGGAGGAACACCUGAGGCGAAGGCGGCUUACUGGACCAAUACUGACACUGAGACUCGAAAGCGUGGGUAGCAAACAGGAUUAGAAACCCUAGUAGUCC
Molecule: ribosomal RNA, 274 nt
Filed under: uncultured bacterium
Lineage: Bacteria
Description: partial 16S ribosomal RNA
Rfam family: Bacterial small subunit ribosomal RNA
Source: RNAcentral